This 601-nucleotide ribosomal RNA is filed under the name Pseudomonas deceptionensis. RNAcentral describes it as "bacterial SSU rRNA". The record is from RNAcentral. Lineage: Bacteria; Pseudomonadati; Pseudomonadota; Gammaproteobacteria; Pseudomonadales; Pseudomonadaceae.
AGUCGAGCGGUAGAGAGGUGCUUGCACCUCUUGAGAGCGGCGGACGGGUGAGUAAUWUCUAGGAAUCUGCCUGGUAGUGGGGGAUAACGUUCGGAAACGGACGCUAAUACCGCAUACGUCCUACGGGAGAAAGCAGGGGACCUUCGGGCCUUGCGCUAUCAGAUGAGCCUAGAUCGGAUUAGCUAGUUGGUGAGGUAAUGGCUCACCAAGGCUACGAUCCGUAACUGGUCUGAGAGGAUGAUCAGUCACACUGGAACUGAGACACGGUCCAGACUCCUACGGGAGGCAGCAGUGGGGAAUAUUGGACAAUGGGCGAAAGCCUGAUCCAGCCAUGCCGCGUGUGUGAAGAAGGUCUUCGGAUUGUAAAGCACUUUAAGUUGGGAGGAAGGGCAGUUACCUAAUACGUGAYUGUCUUGACGUUACCGACAGAAUAAGCACCGGCUAACUCUGUGCCAGCAGCCGCGGUAAUACAGAGGGUGCAAGCGUUAAUCGGAAUUACUGGGCGUAAAGCGCGCGUAGGUGGUUUGUUAAGUUGAAUGUGAAAUCCCCGGGCUCAACCUGGGAACUGCAUCCAAAACUGGCAAGCUAGAGUAUGGUAGAG